UCCUGGCUCAGGAUGAACGCUGGCGGUAUGCCUAACACAUGCAAGUCGAACGGAGUUCUUCGGAACUUAGUGGCGGACGGGUGAGUAACACGUGAGAACCUACCUUCAGAAUGGGGACAACAGUUGGAAACGACUGCUAAUACCCGAUGUGCCGAGAGGUGAAAGAUUUAUCGUCUGAAGAUGGGCUCGCGGCUGAUUAGCUAGUUGGUGUGGUAAGAGCGCACCAAGGCAACGAUCAGUAGCUGGUCUGAGAGGAUGAGCAGCCACACUGGAACUGAGAAACGGUCCAGACUCCUACGGGAGGCAGCAGUGGGGAAUUUUCCGCAAUGGCGAAAGCCUGACGGAGCAAUACCGCGUGUGGGAGGAAGGCCCUUGGGUUGUAAACCACUUUUCUAGGGGAAGAAGAUCUGACGGUACCCUAGGAAUAAGCAUCGGCUAACUCCGUGCCAGCAGCCGCGGUAAUACGGAGGAUGCAAGCGUUAUCCGGAAUCAUUGGGCGUAAAGCGUCCGUAGGUGGUCAAUCAAGUCUGCUGUCAAAGAAUGGAGCUUAACUCCAUAGAGGCGGUGGAAACUGGGAGACUAGAGUUCGGUAGGGGUAGCGGGAAUUCCCAGUGUAGCGGUGAAAUGCGUAGAUAUUGGGAAGAACAUCGGUGGCGAAAGCGCGCUACUGGGCCGAAACUGACACUGAGGGACGAAAGCUAGGGUAGCGAAAGGGAUUAGAUACCCCUGUAGUCCCAGCCGUAAACGAUGGAUACUAGGCGUAGUCUGUAUCGACCCGGACUGUGCCGAAGCUAACGCGUUAAGUAUCCCGCCUGGGGAGUACGCUCGCAAGAGUGAAACUCAAAGGAAUUGACGGGGGCCCGCACAAGCGGUGGAGUAUGUGGUUUAAUUCGAUGCAACGCGAAGAACCUUACCAAGGCUUGACAUGUCUGGAAGUCUACCGAAAGGUGGAUGUGCCUUAGGGAACCAGAACACAGGUGGUGCAUGGCUUGUCAGCUCGUGUCGUGAGAUGUUGGGUUAAGUCCCGCAACGAGCGCAACCCUCGUUUUUAGUUGCCAUCAUUAAGUUGGGCACUCUAGAGAGACUGCCGGUGACAAACCGGAGGAAGGUGGGGAUGACGUCAAGUCAUCAUGCCCCUUACGUCUUGGGCUACACACGUACUACAAUGGUCGGGACAACGGGCAGCUAAUCCGCGAGGACAAGCGAAUCCCACCAAACCCGGCCUCAGUUCAGAUUGCAGGCUGCAACUCGCCUGCAUGAAGGAGGAAUCGCUAGUAAUCGCAGGUCAGCAUACUGCGGUGAAUUCGUUCCCGGGCCUU
This 1319-nucleotide ribosomal RNA is filed under the name metagenome. RNAcentral's name for it is "bacterial SSU rRNA". It matches the Rfam family "Bacterial small subunit ribosomal RNA", at positions 17 to 1382 of the family's 1533-position model. The record is from RNAcentral.